CGGCCUGCUCCGGGGUGCACGUAGAACCUUUUCAGGUGUCUGGGCGUGCUGAGACGGCGGACCUUACCGCCGGAACCGCGAACUUGAUCUGGUUAGUACCAGCGUAAGAAGAGCUGCAGUCUUGAUU
Molecule: non-coding RNA, 127 nt
Filed under: Acidovorax sp. RAC01
Lineage: Bacteria; Pseudomonadati; Pseudomonadota; Betaproteobacteria; Burkholderiales; Comamonadaceae
Also listed under: 1 other name
Description: TPP riboswitch aptamer (THI element)
Rfam family: TPP riboswitch aptamer (THI element)
About the family: Vitamin B(1) in its active form thiamin pyrophosphate (TPP) is an essential coenzyme that is synthesised by coupling of pyrimidine and thiazole moieties in bacteria.
Source: Rfam by way of RNAcentral